UCCCAGAUGGCUCAGUGAUAAAGAAUCUGCCUGCAAAGCAGGAGACACAGGUUUGAUCCCUGGUUCAGGAA
Molecule: transfer RNA, 71 nt
Filed under: Bos taurus (domestic cattle)
Lineage: Eukaryota; Metazoa; Chordata; Mammalia; Artiodactyla; Bovidae
Also listed under: 5 other names
Rfam family: tRNA
About the family: Transfer RNA (tRNA) molecules are approximately 80 nucleotides in length. Their secondary structure includes four short double-helical elements and three loops (D, anti-codon, and T loops).
Source: Rfam by way of RNAcentral